UACAGACGCACAGACGCACAGACGUACGCACCGCCCGCAGGACAGCGCAGCGCCUUCGAGCGCAAACAGGGUCGGCGCGUUUACUGUAAACACGCGCUGCUCUCAAACCGUGCCCAGACUCGGCUGCGUGCGGCGCUGGGACACCAGGACCCAGCCCUGGCGCAGGCACACCAGGACCCAGCCCUGGCGCAGGGACACCAGGACCCAGCCCUGGCGCAGAACGCCAGCCGAGAGAGAGACAGAGGGAGCUGGAGGUGUGGUCUAUUGUUUUUUGCGGAAGAGGUGUAGGGUUACACUGCCGCCAAACCUCCAAAGAGCUCCGUCACCCCCCCCCCCCCCUUUUUCUUUUUUUGCUCCCUGGCGGGGAGAAGGGACUAACUCCCAUUUAUUAAUAUGAAGAAGAAGAAAAAAUAAUUGCUGUAAAGAAACAGCGGAUACCCACUGCGCGUGGAAGUCGACCAGCACGGGGAGGCUGCUGUUGAUGACGCGCUCCGUGAAAUCCUCCUGGUCCUGCACGCUGAAGGACACGUUUCGCCGGGAGGUGACGGACACGGCGGGCGACGGCGCGCGGGAGAACAGGGAGGCCGAGGACGCGCAGAGAUGGGGGCAGCGGAUAUCCUUCACGGGCGCGUUCCAGAUCCUGCGGACUAUGAGUCUGUAAGCCAUCUGUGAAACGCCACAGACCAAAAAAAAA
Molecule: long non-coding RNA, 694 nt
Organism: Anguilla anguilla (European eel)
Lineage: Eukaryota; Metazoa; Chordata; Actinopteri; Anguilliformes; Anguillidae
Exons: 4
Source: RefSeq, a predicted model, not a curated record